RNAcentral lists this ribosomal RNA (510 nucleotides) under uncultured bacterium. RNAcentral's name for it is "partial 16S ribosomal RNA". It matches the Rfam family "Bacterial small subunit ribosomal RNA", at positions 29 to 507 of the family's 1533-position model. The record is from RNAcentral.
ACAAACGCUGGCGGCAUGCCUAACACAUGCAAGUCGAACGGACAGAACAGGGAAGCUUUUCGGAGUGGAACUGGAAAGUUAGUGGCGGAUGGGUGAGUAACGCGUGGACAACCUACCUUGUAAAGGGGAAUAACCUCGAGAAAUCGAAGCUAAUACCCCAUAAUAACCUUGCUUCGCAUGAAGUAAGGAGGAAAGGCGGCCUUAGCGCUGUCGAUACAAGAUGGGUCCGCGUCUGAUUAGCUAGUUGGUGAGGUAAAGGCUCACCAAGGCGACGAUCAGUAGCCGGCCUGAGAGGGUGAACGGCCACAUUGGGACUGAGACACGGCCCAAACUCCUACGGGAGGCAGCAGUGGGGGAUCUUCCGCAAUGGGCGAAAGCCUGACGGAGCAAUGCCGCGUGAGUGAAGAAGGCCUUCGGGUUGUAAAACUCUGUCCUUAUCGAAGAGAGAGUGUUGUAGUAACUGACAAUACUAGGACGGUAGAUGAGGAGGAAGCCCCGGCUAACUAUGUG